CGCUCCGGACGAGCGGCGACUAUCCGUAAGAGUGGCGCCCACUAAGGGGGAGAGGUAAAGCAGUGGAAGGGCUGGGACCAGAGGAGACGGGAUGAGGAAAAGAUCGGGAUUAGGGGUGCCUUGCCUAAGUCUGGGCGGACUAAGAGGUGGUUCGACCGCAUCCGAGGAGGGGCGACCCCGUCCCGGCACGUGGGAGGGCGGGCACGCGCGGAGGCGGCGGCUGCAGAGGCGCACGAUGCGUGGUAGGGCGGAGGCGGCGCUGAGCCGAGGCAGAGGGGUGCAGGUGCGGAGUCGCGAGGUCCAUAGCUCGGAGACUUUGGGCAGAUUUGGGGAAAAAAACCCAAACUGACUGUCGCCUCGUUGGCGACCGUGCCGCAUCGUAGGUGCGUCGGCGCCACCGUAUCGUAGCUGCGCGCCGCUCAAGCGAGGGGAGGGGAGGGGAGGGGGACCGGCGGAUGUUUUGAGCGAGCUUAGAACUCGGGCGGCUGGGAGAGAGAGGGGGUGGAGGCAGAAGAGGGUCCGAGGUCUUGGAGCAAAACGGCAGAUUCAGCGUCCUGAGCGGUCGCUUCUACCGGCCACUCUCGUCGUGGUCCGCCGGGGAGAAGCCGCCGCGGUAGAGGUGGCGGAAGGGGCAGGCCAAGGUCCUACACUCGUUGUAAGCGCUCCAGGGGCUGGUGGUCCUUCAAGAGCAACUAGGGCGGGCACUGCUCUCGGAGUAGAAGCUCGACGAGCUGGAGUUCCCGCUCCACCUCCUGCCGCCGUCGCGCGAGACCAAGGACGCGCUGCAGCGGUUGCUCGUUCUACGCCGCCUAUUGAACCACCAGCUCGUGAGACCAUGUUAGCUCGAUCGACCAGACGCUAGACCCCUUCGUGGACGUCACCGACCUUGACGUUAACCGUUCGACCGACAAAGUUUUCCCUCCGUUCCGUCUCUUCGUGUCUUGUAACAAGCUGAAAUGAACCGUUUGUAUGCAGAGUUCUUACGUCGUUGACUACAUCAAUAGUGGCGUAUACUCGGCGACAACUAUUUAGGAAACUCACUUUCACGAGUCCGGUAACGUCGACCUGGUCGUCACGGGCGCCUUGUCCGUCCUACGAACGGUUACAGGCUCCAGAAGUCUGAGCGUCAGUACUUGAAGCUACAGGUACUAACCUUGGAAAAGUUACCGUCGCCAACUUCAUCUCUCCCAUACUGUAGAGUUACGAUCUCACCAAGAUUUUUUUCACAAGACGUUCUCACAAACCCCUUACAUGAAAGGAACUCUCUUUGACCAUAGACUUAACAGGAAUUCUCAUCGAAAAAAAACAACGACUUUUACGAUAGUGAACCGUAUACAUCACAGUAGGUUUCUUGGGACCAGCUUCAAGUUAUAUAGUACAAUCGAAGAUCUUUAAUGAACUUAACUUGCUUCAUGAACGAUAAAGUAACUAUUUCUGGCG
This 1440-nucleotide ribosomal RNA is filed under the name Triticum aestivum (bread wheat). Its description in RNAcentral is "partial small subunit ribosomal RNA". The record is from RNAcentral. Lineage: Eukaryota; Viridiplantae; Streptophyta; Magnoliopsida; Poales; Poaceae.